CCUUGACAUCCAGAGAACUUAGCAGAGAUGCUUUGGUGCCUUCGGGAACUCUGAGACAGGUGCUGCAUGGCUGUCGUCAGCUCGUGUUGUGAAAUGUUGGGUUAAGUCCCGCAACGGGCGCAACCCUUAUCCUUUGUUGCCAGCGGUUCGGCCGGGAACUCAAAGGAGACUGCCGGUGAUAAACCGGAGGAAGGUGGGGAUGACGUCAAGUCAUCAUGGCCCUUACGGCCAGGGCUACACACGUGCUACAAUGGCGCAUACAAAGAGAAGCGACCUCGCGAGAGCAAGCGGACCUCAUAAAGUGCGUCGUAGUCCGGAUUGGAGUCUGCAACUCGACUCCAUGAAGUCGGAAUCGCUAGUAAUCGUAGAUCAGAAUGCUACGGUGAAUACGUUCCCGGGCCUUGUACACACCGCCCGUCACACCACGGGAGUGGGUUGCAAAAGAAGUAGGUAGCUUAACCUUCGGGAGGGCGCUUACCACUUUGUGAUUCAUGACUGGGGUGAAGUCGUAACAAGGUAAGCGUAGCGAG
This 530-nucleotide ribosomal RNA is filed under the name uncultured bacterium. Its description in RNAcentral is "bacterial SSU rRNA". It matches the Rfam family "Bacterial small subunit ribosomal RNA", at positions 979 to 1509 of the family's 1533-position model. The record is from RNAcentral.